GAGUUCUGGCUCAGUGGUAGAGCACUCGCUUAGCAUGUGUGAGGCCCUGGGUUUGAUCCUCAGAAUCA
Molecule: transfer RNA, 68 nt
Filed under: Marmota monax (woodchuck)
Lineage: Eukaryota; Metazoa; Chordata; Mammalia; Rodentia; Sciuridae
Description: tRNA.Ala
Rfam family: tRNA (bases 7-63)
About the family: Transfer RNA (tRNA) molecules are approximately 80 nucleotides in length. Their secondary structure includes four short double-helical elements and three loops (D, anti-codon, and T loops).
Source: RNAcentral